This 497-nucleotide ribosomal RNA is filed under the name uncultured bacterium. Its description in RNAcentral is "partial 16S ribosomal RNA". It matches the Rfam family "Bacterial small subunit ribosomal RNA", at positions 29 to 523 of the family's 1533-position model. The record is from RNAcentral.
UUGAACGCUGGCGGCAGGCCUAACACAUGCAAGUCGAGCGGCAGCGCGGGGCAACCUGGCGGCGAGCGGCGGACGGGUGAGUAACGCGUAGGAAUCUACCCAGUAGCGGGGGAUAGCCCGGGGAAACUCGGAUUAAUACCGCAUACGCCCUAAGGGGGAAAGCAGGGGAUCGUAAGACCUUGCACUAUUGGAAGAGCCUGCGUUGGAUUAGCUAGUUGGUAGGGUAAAGGCCUACCAAGGCGACGAUCCAUAACUGGUCUGAGAGGAUGAUCAGUCAAACCGGAACUGAGACACGGUCCGGACUCCUACGGGAGGCAGCAGUGGGGAAUAUUGGACAAUGGGGGCAACCCUGAUCCAGCCAUGCCGCGUGUGUGAAGAAGGCCUUCGGGUUGUAAAGCACUUUAAGUGGGGAGAAAGGUUCGGCAGCUAAUACCUGCCGGAAGUGAUGUUACCCACAGAAUAAGCACCGGCUAACUCUGUGCCAGCCGCCGCCGUAA